Molecule: long non-coding RNA, 954 nt
Filed under: Brassica rapa (field mustard)
Lineage: Eukaryota; Viridiplantae; Streptophyta; Magnoliopsida; Brassicales; Brassicaceae
Description: long non-coding RNA (BRAP_LNC004150)
Source: RNAcentral
GCCGGCCUGAACGUUAUAUAAGGUGCAUAGCCACUCCACGUCCAUUCACACUUGUUCGUUUAUGUCUCCGUAAUUAAUACGCCGGUGGCUUCGCUUCUGUUCUACAAAGGAAACUACAAGUUAUGUCACUGUCCACGUGGCUGCCUUAUUGGGCAUAUAGACGUUACUAUACAUGUUUUUUUUGGGAGGGCUCAAAACAAAAAUAGUAACAAGUGAAAUUAUUAUUUUUGUGGGAACCACUGGGCAGGUGUCGAGGCCUCCUGAGGUUGCUAAACAUCGCGGCUGUCUUUCACCGCCCAACGGUCCGAAUACUUUAUAAAGCUUGCCAAGGUGGUUGGUCCUUAAUCAUUCCGUUAUGUUGAAGGUAUCUUCUGCUUUUUUUCUUUUCGUUUUCGUCUACGACUCUUGCCUUUUAUCGAACAGUCUUUAUAUUUCUGUGAUCUGUAUAACAAACAACAUUAGGGGACUAAAAUAGUAUAAUAUUAUUGACUUACUAAUACUAUUACAUGUUUAAUCAAUUAGCUAAUGACAACGCUCUAAGCAAAUAGAGGAAAAACAUCGCGGGUAAGGCCACUUUUAAGCAUGGCCCUUGUUUAAAAAAUCAGGCCAGGAUUUGUAAGCCCGCGGGCUUCAUACCAUAUUAACAUAGUUAAUCCAUGGUAAUGGGCUUCUGUGAUUAAGUUUUGCGUAAGUGUGAUAUGUUCAUGGAGAUGACGAGUUGUUUCAAAAGAUGAGAGCAGAGUUUGGACACUUUUAUGAUCCAACUCCAAGAUUGGUAACUUAAAAGGGUCGUACCUGUUUAUUUUUAGGUUCAUAUGUAUAAUGAUCCUAUGAUAAAGCUAAGGUAUGAUAUUAUUUAAGAAAGAAGAAUGUUUACAAUCUCAACACGGUGAUGAACCGUGAUUGAGCCCAAAUCCAAGAGCCACCUCUUGAAACCCUUUUACAAUCCAAUUC